Molecule: transfer RNA, 74 nt
Filed under: Candidatus Portnoybacteria bacterium CG02_land_8_20_14_3_00_45_8
Lineage: Bacteria; Candidatus Portnoyibacteriota
Also listed under: 1 other name
Description: tRNA-Val
Rfam family: tRNA
About the family: Transfer RNA (tRNA) molecules are approximately 80 nucleotides in length. Their secondary structure includes four short double-helical elements and three loops (D, anti-codon, and T loops). Further hydrogen bonds mediate the characteristic L-shaped molecular structure. tRNAs have two regions of fundamental functional importance: the anti-codon, which is responsible for specific mRNA codon recognition, and the 3' end, to which the tRNAs corresponding amino acid is attached (by aminoacyl-tRNA synthetases). tRNAs cope with the degeneracy of the genetic code in two manners: having more than one tRNA (with a specific anti-codon) for a particular amino acid; and 'wobble' base-pairing, i.e. permitting non-standard base-pairing at the 3rd anti-codon position.
Source: RNAcentral
GGGUCUAUAGCUCAGUUGGCUAGAGCGCUUCCUCGACACGGAAGAGGUCAGUGGUUCGAGUCCACUUAGACCCA